Molecule: ribosomal RNA, 418 nt
Filed under: uncultured bacterium
Lineage: Bacteria
Description: bacterial SSU rRNA
Rfam family: Bacterial small subunit ribosomal RNA
Source: RNAcentral
AAGGAAUAUUGGUCAAUGGACGCAAGUCUGAACCAGCCAUGCCGCGUGAAGGAUGACUGCCCUCUGGGUUGUAAACUUCUUUUAUCUGGGACGAAAAAGGGUCUUUAUAGAUCAACUGACGGUACCAGAGGAAUAAGCACCGGCUAACUCCGUGCCAGCAGCCGCGGUAAUACGGAGGGUGCAAGCGUUAUCCGGAUUUACUGGGUUUAAAGGGAGCGCAGGCGGAUUAGUAAGUCAGUGGUGAAAGCCUUGAGCUUAACUCGAGAACUGCCAUUGAUACUAUUAGUCUUGAAUGUUGUUGAGGUUUGCGGAAUGGGUCAUGUAGCGGUGAAAUGCAUAGAUAUGACCCGGAACACCUAUUGCGAAGGCAGCAGGCUAAACAAAUAUUGACGCUGAGGCUCGAAAGCGUGGGGAUCAA